GACGAACGCUGGCGGCGUGCUUAACACAUGCAAGUCGAACGGAAAGGCCCUGCUUUUGUGGGGUGCUCGAGUGGCGAACGGGUGAGUAACACGUGAGUAACCUGCCCUUGACUUUGGGAUAACUUCAGGAAACUGGGGCUAAUACCGGAUAGGAGCUCCUGCUGCAUGGUGGGGGUUGGAAAGUUUCGGCGGUUGGGGAUGGACUCGCGGCUUAUCAGCUUGUUGGUGGGGUAGUGGCUUACCAAGGCUUUGACGGGUAGCCGGCCUGGGAGGGUGACCGGCCUCAUUGGGACUGAGAUACGGCCCAGACUCCUACGGGAGGCAGCAGUGGGGAAUAUUGCACAAUGGGCGGAAGCCUGAUGCAGCAACGCCGCGUGCGGGAUGACGGCCUUCGGGUUGUAAACCGCUUUCGCCUGUGACGAAGCGUGGGUGACGGUAAUGGGUAAAGAAGCACCGGCUAACUACGUG
RNAcentral lists this ribosomal RNA (468 nucleotides) under uncultured bacterium. Its description in RNAcentral is "partial 16S ribosomal RNA". It matches the Rfam family "Bacterial small subunit ribosomal RNA", at positions 28 to 507 of the family's 1533-position model. The record is from RNAcentral.